This 759-nucleotide long non-coding RNA is filed under the name Heterocephalus glaber (naked mole-rat). RNAcentral's name for it is "lncRNA (ENSHGLG00100044746.1)". The record is from RNAcentral. Lineage: Eukaryota; Metazoa; Chordata; Mammalia; Rodentia; Bathyergidae.
GGCCGUCUGAUCUUGGAUUUUCAGUUUCCAAGACUGUGAGCUGCAUAAAUCUCUUUUCAUUGUGCAUUAUCCAGCUAUUUCAUCACAGUAACGGGAAAUGAACUAAUACAUAUGGGAAAGAAAUUUUCAUUUCAAGUAUAGACUUUCCCCCGUCUCCAUUAUCUCUCACAAAAUUUGCUUUCUAACUAAGGCAAGGUAACAGAGUGGGGGCUAAAGACUAGAAAGGAGAUGCACUAUUAGGAAUGAUAUCCAAAUGAUAUUUGUGAUCUCAAGGCUGUAUCUUUUGCUUUUGUAAGGAUUGAUUAACUCUGGCUAUGCUGAAGAGUACUUAUUUUCUCUCUCUCUUUUCCUGUCUCUCACAUCACCAGUGGAACCCAAUGAAACAGUGAUUGGCUGAUGAAAUCUAUCAUGACUGCCAGACACAAAGAAAUGGACUUUCCUGGUGCUGGAAUUCAAGAGAAAGACCUCCAGAAAAGGGAGAGGCCCUGCCGACUCCAAGAUGGGAAAGGAAGGCAGGGGUCCAGGACAAGGUAGAGGAAGAGGUAUUGUGAUGCGACUGUGAAAGAUAUGUGGCUUCUUUGAAGGGUGGUGAAAGAAUUCUAGAGUGAGAUUUUGGUGACAGCUGUGCUCUAUGAAGACCACUGAAUCAGGAAGGCGUUUGGCUGGGGCCUGUGGGCCCAAGCUGCUGCAGUCUGGGUGGACCUCAGCUAGGACCUGCCCAUGCCCGCACAGCCCUUGUCCAUGCAGGCUUCUCGCUCG